UGCAGGUUUCCGGUGCAUGUCAAAACAUUGGGGGAAAAAUAGUGCAUUUUUUUCUGAACUCAAUUUAUUCUGUUCGAUUAUAAGUUUAUGCUGAUUGAAACAAAUAUACAGACUUUUAAAAAAUCUAGCAUCUUUUUGGGGAUAUCAAUCCAGAAAAGUGGAAGGAUAUCAUGUUUACUGGAAGUGGUGCGGCCUAGUGAAAACAGCAAACAGAAAGUAAAAAAAAAGGUUUUGACUUCCUGAUUGUGUAACUUUUUAUUCUUCGUGGCUUGACCCACUUUUAUCCCGAUUAUAUCACAAUUUCACAUAAGUACAUACAUGAAUUUUUUUUUCUAUGUAGCAUUUUUCAUUUUUUUUAUUUUCAAAGAUCAGCUGUUGUGCAUGUAAGCCUAUGGAGCAGUAAAUUACAAGACUGCAACCGACAUAGGGUAAUUUUGUCAAAUGUCUUUAAUAGCUCAUGUGGACUUUUGUGUGUCCAUUAUGAUAAAACAUCAUGAUUUAAGUACUUUUUAAGAGAAAAAAAUCAUGGGGUAUCAAAUUACACUGAAAAACUGAAAUUAUGUAAUUAUUAUGCUUUUUCAUACUAAACACCAUUCAAAAGUAUUAAUAGAUAUAAAGCAUAACAGUUUGAGGCAAAUUGAAAUUCAGAUGGUAUUUCAUACAUAAUUUUAAAUUAAAAAAAAACAUAGAAAGAUAAUUCCUCAAUAAGAUCUUCUUCUUGUGAUGAAAAUUCUAGUUGCAAUUUUUUCUUAAAAAUUAGUGAAUAUUUGAAGAGACAGCUACAUACAAAAGUAAUUGCUUUGUUUAGGGUUAUUAUUUUUAUGGCUCAAUUGUGGACAAUUAGGUAGAAUAUGUAUAAAAUGAACUUUUGGUGAAAAGAUUUUCAGAAAAUGUUCAUUUUGCAUGAGUCUAAACUACUUUUCAUAUCUGCAACACUACAUGGUUAAUUGAAAUUUCCAUAUUUGGGUUAAAAUUGGUUUAAAAAGUAGAAAUUUUUUAAAACUAUCCAUCAUGACAAGGAUUUUUGUGAUUAGGUGUGACAAGUAAUCAAUAUUCUUACCAAAAACACCAAAUUGAGUAUUCAUUUUGUUUUUUCUUCAGUUUUAUUUCAAACAUAUGCAUUGGUGUGUCGAGGACAGUUUAAGAACAAUGAUAAAGUAGGCAUGUAUAAAAACCAGUAUAGAAAAAAAAAAGAAAG
RNAcentral lists this long non-coding RNA (1198 nucleotides) under Mytilus galloprovincialis (Mediterranean mussel). The record is from RNAcentral. Lineage: Eukaryota; Metazoa; Mollusca; Bivalvia; Mytilida; Mytilidae.